UCUUUUUCGAUCUUCACAGUCCCUCUUGAAGUGCCCCUUUUUAUCACCCCAGUAACAUACGACCUCGCUCGUAUCUCGUCUUCUUGAUUUCGAACACCUUUGCUUACCUUCGAGCUUUCGAUCUUUCCUUCUUCCUUGUCUCUCACUAUUAGCUACCAACGCUUGCUCACGAGACGUCACAAUCAGCUUUCUUAACGUCUCAGAAUCUUGAAGUGAUGCCAUCACAUCAUCCAACUUCAGGGUUUCCUUCCCCACGAGUAAUGCAGUUUCCGGACCAUCAAAUGAAGCUGGUAGAGACGACAAUAGUAGAAGCGCCUUAUCUUCUUCAUCAAUCUUUACGUCGAGGCUCAACAACUGGGUCAAAAUCUUGUUGUAAUCAUUUAUGUGAUAAAAAAGGCUGCUUCCCUCCUUCAUUCGAAGUUGAUACAGUUUCUUCUUCAGAAACAAUUUAUUGGUAAGGGACUUCACCAUAUACCUUUGCUCCAAUUUCUUCCAGAGCUCCAUUGAUGAGGUUUCGUCUAAUACCGAAUACUUAACUUCAUUUUCCAGACACAAUCGGAUUGUGCUAACCGUUUUCAUCUCUAAUUCGAUCCAAUCAUCAUCUUUGAAAUCAUCUGGCUUCUUCCUGAUCAACGGAUUGAUCAAGCCUUGAUGAACCAAAAUGUCCUUCACCGUGCUCUGCCAUAAACUGAAGUUGUUCCGCCCAUCGAACUUCUCCACCUCAAACUUCGAAGUGCCAAUAGCUGCCAUUUUGCUCCGAUUCUCAAUAAACGGACAUCGCCAAUGGCAUCGGGACGGCCGAAAACCUUAAAAAUGGUUCAAAUCGCUCGAAAAACCGACUCGAAAUGGCUCCAAAAAGCCUGGUCAAACUUUUGGUCAACAAAAGUCAACUUUAACGGAAUAUUCUUGCCUCUGACGAAAUAUUUCCUGGCGACAUUAGUGACGCUAUUAACUGCACCGUUUGUUGAUGUGGCAUGUGAAGCCCACUGCUAACAUGGCACUAUGGGGCCCACCUACUAACGCGUAAAUGUGGGGCCUACUGUGGGUCCUAGUUGCUGACGUGGCAUGGCCCCCUGGCUGACGUGGCUGCUGAUUGGACGGUUUAUUGGGCGCCAUGUGGCGCUGACGCGGCACGGGUCCCAGCUAACGUGGCCGUCUUCUACCUCCCGCUCGUUCGCCAGCGCGUGACCGCGCGUAAAGUGACCCGCCAACUGCCCUCUAGCGUGUGAAGGCGCGUGGGUGCACGUGGGGACACAUAGCCGAGUGCAGCAAAGUUGCAGUGUGUGUGUGCAUACAGAGAGCUGCAUUGUGAGAGUUCAGAGAGCUGUGUUGCAAAGAAUGUGUGAUGCUGUGUUGUGAGGCAGAGUGAAGAGAGAGUGAGAGAGGAGUUGAGGGCAGUAGCAUUUUCCUUCUCCUUGUGUAAUUCUCCUGGUGAUUAUAGUGGAUUUGUGCUCUCUCAGUGGACGUAGGUCAUAGUGGACCGAACCACGAAAAUUUGGUCUCACAUUUGUGUUGUGUAAUUUUGCUUGUGCGAUUGCUGUUCGUCGAUCAUUUUUCCCAACAAAUGGUAUCACACUGCUGCAAAUCACCGCAUAUUCCACACACACAUACAUUACAUAUAUAUACACAUAAGAGAGGGAAGAAGUCAAAUAAGAAAGUUGUGAUGUCAACAUGGUAGGUCAAUUGUUGGUGGCCGUCCAUCUCCAGCUUCAACAUUUUUUGCUGGGUGGUGCGGCUGCCGACACCCAUACGAGCCACACAUCUCCUAACAAUCUCCACCUUGGCGAGUAUCAACUCUCAAGUCCACAGCUCCACCUUGUCACGAACUCGAUCAAUGCAAGUCUUCAUAGUUUGGUUCAAACGUCUAAACCAUGCAAAGAGUACCGUCUUUUUCAACAAGCCGAACUCGUCUGUUCAUUCUGACGACGCAUCGCUAUCAUCAUCUGAGGUCGAACCACCAACCACUGUGGUUCCUAUCAACUGAUACAACCCACGAGACUCCUUCCCAGUAAAUAUUAUUGAGUCACGUCGUGUCACGUCCAUAGCUCCACCUGCGACAGAUAUUUUACAACCCUUAGAAUCCAACCGACUAAGAGAGAUCAAAUUUCUUCUACCUCUAGGAAUCGUGACAUUAAAUGUUUUAAAUGUCAAGGCAGGGGACAACACAGUCUGCUAGAUAAACUUUUCUCAGAACCAAUAUAGGUGAGGUCUGAAAUAUCUCUUUGCGCUUUGUUAAAUCAUUGGGAUGCACACACACAAAGAAAAAAAAAAUCAUCAAAUUUAAGCAAAAGGGUCUUUAAAACAUUCCUUGAUUUUUCCAAAAUUUUAUUAAAAUUUUCUAAAAUUUUCCAACAUUUUUUCUAAAAUGUUCUAGGAUUUUUAAAGAAUUUUUCUCAUUUUGUAGUAUUUUUUAUUUUUUCAUUUUUUUUAUUAUUUGAGUCAAAAUAACUCAACUAAUUUUUAUUUAUUUUUUAUAAUUUUUAAAAUAUUUUUAUUUAUUUUUUCAGUUUUCAAAAAUUAAAAAAUCAUGUAAAAAUAAAUAAAAUAAAAUAAGUAAAAUGGUGGUUCAAAAAUUGGACCGAUUCAACCGGUCUAAAUCGAGUCUAGCCCGGUUGGGCUUUGUGGGUCACGUGUCCACCCACAGUGGUGACACGUGACACGUGCUGACGUCACCCGUCAUGUGGCAGCCUUUCUAUUUUUUUUUUCUAAAAAAAAUUGUAGUAAGGUGACGUUAGUAUGACGUCACUCACCACGUGAUAGAAUUAGUACAAUGUGAGAUUUUACCCAUAUGAUUCCUUAUUUGACUUCUUCCCUUUCCCAUGUGUAUUUAUAUGUAAUGUGUGUGUGUGUGGAAUGUGUGGGGAAUUGCAGCAGUGUGUGGUGAGUUGCAGCUGAGUGCAGCAAAGUUGCAGUGUGUGUGCGCAUGCAGAGAGCUGUGUUGCAGAGAGUGUGUGGUGCUUCUACUUUUGUACAAAGAGGCAUGUCUAAAUACUAACGAACUUGACUUUGCUUUGCCUAGUUCUGUUGUUUCACUUUUGCAGGAGUAUGAGGAUAUCUUUUUCGAGGAAACACCACAUGGGUUACCUCCAAUUCGAGGGAUUGAACAUCAAAUUGAUUUUGUUCCUAGUGCGACAAUUCCCGACCAACUAGCCUAUAGGAGCAAUCCUGAGGAGACAAAGGAGCUUCAACAGCAGAUAAGUGAGUUAUUGGAAAAAGGGCACGUGAGGGAGAGCAUGAGUCCAUGCGUCGUUUCGGUCUUACUGGUACCUAAGAAGGAUGGGACGUGGAGAAUGUGCGUUGAUUGCCGAGCCAUCAACAACAUAAUGGAUUUCUUCGAGAUCGAGCUUUGAGAGCUCGAGGUUUUUGUAGCAUUAUUGGGAAUUAGGAAAAGAAAAUGGAGCCCCUGAUAGGAGAGCGGGAAAAGCCCCGCUGAUCUAGAUCAGUUGUUUGCCCUCUUUGGAAGGGUAAGUUUUUGGUAGGGACAGUUAGGUUUUGUGGGGAUUGUCCCUAGAUUUCAUUUUUGAGAUGUAUAUACUGUGAGAUAGUAAUUGUAGUGACUCUGGUAUGUGUUAUGCACAUUAUGAUGAGAUGUAUAUGAUUUUAUACUUUCUGCUG
Malania oleifera is the source of this 3615-nucleotide long non-coding RNA. RefSeq lists it as uncharacterized. The transcript is spliced from 3 exons. The record is from RefSeq and is a predicted model, not a curated record. NCBI's taxonomy places the organism in Eukaryota, Viridiplantae, Streptophyta, Magnoliopsida, Santalales, Ximeniaceae.